Long non-coding RNA from Panicum hallii, 950 nucleotides. RefSeq lists it as uncharacterized. NCBI's taxonomy places the organism in Eukaryota, Viridiplantae, Streptophyta, Magnoliopsida, Poales, Poaceae. The record is from RefSeq and is a predicted model, not a curated record. The transcript is spliced from 4 exons.
AUGGCCCCCACGUUGCAGGACGUGUCGUACCUGCUCGGGCUUCCCAUUACGGGUGAAGCUGUUGGCCCGGUUGCCGUACCACCUACCUGGAGGGCGGAGCUUCAGGAGCGGUUUGCUCCAGUGAACCCGCCACUUUUUAUGAAUGUACCUGACGUGCCCGGCCCCGCCAAGAGUUAGGCUCAGGAUCUCCACCAUCUGGCUGGGCAGUACGAGGUGUCGCGAUGUCUGAAGGCAUAUCUUUUGUGGUUGUUCGGCUGGACUCUUUUCUGCAACUCUAGCGGCAAUUAUGUGGACAAGGUUCUUAUGCAGUACGCGCGCGAUUGCGGAUGCGGAGCCGGGCCAGGUACCUGGGUGGAGCUGGGGAUCGGCAGUGCUUGCUGCCACGUACCGAGGCCUUUGCCAGGCCUGUUUGAAGAUGGAGAGGACUGCCAUCAUCAUAAGCUGUCCACUUCUGCUGCAGCUAUGGUCGUACGAGUGAUUUGCCAUUGCACGCCCCCUAAUCAGCGAGGAGCCUUAUCGGCCCGAGAUGUAUGGGAUGUGGCACGAGGAUAGCCCCACGAUGGGCUCGCUUUGGACCCAUCACGGAUGAGCUAGGCACAUCGGCAGGUCCGAAAAGCAUACCCGCAGUUCGUGUCCGAAUUUGAUCGGAUGCGGCCACAGGAUGUCAUCUGGACCCCGUACACCGCUGCGGCUAUCCAGACACGUGCGCCGCACGGGUUGUCCUCCCUCUGCACGCGUGAUGAGGCGUACUGGCUCAUAAAGGGGAACCUAGUGUUCGAUAUUAUCAUCGAGCCGUACUGCGUCGAGCGAGUGAUGAGGCAGUUCGAACGAUGACAGCACUUUCCUCUCUUACCUCGAGCGUUCCAGGCCGUGCCGUGCAACGUACACGAAUAUUCGCGCAGGGGAUAUCAUGCCAACGAGGUCAACUGGGUGGUCAAGCUGCAGGAGUA